CAGGAUCUAGCGGCGGACGGGUGAGUAACACGUAGGCAACCUGCCCCUUAGUCUGGGAUAACUACCGGAAACGGUAGCUAAUACCGGAUAUUUCCUUUCCCCUCCUGGGGAGAGGAUGAAAGACGGAGUAAUCCGUCGCUGAGGGAUGGGCCUGCGGCGCAUUAGCUAGUUGGUGAGGUAACGGCUCACCAAGGCGACGAUGCGUAGCCGACCUGAGAGGGUGAACGGCCACUCUGGGACUGAGACACGGCCCAUACUCCUACGGGAGGCAGCAGUAGGGAAUCUUCCGCAAUGGGCGCAAGCCUGACGGAGCAAUGCCGCGUGAGUGAUGAAGGUUUUCGGAUCGUAAAGCUCUGUUGCCAGGGAAGAACGUCUUAUAGAGUAACUGCUAUAAGAGUGACGGUACCUGAGAAGAAAGCCCCGGCUAACUACGUGCCAGCAGCCGCGGUAAUACGUAGGGGG
RNAcentral lists this ribosomal RNA (462 nucleotides) under uncultured bacterium. RNAcentral describes it as "bacterial SSU rRNA". It matches the Rfam family "Bacterial small subunit ribosomal RNA", at positions 86 to 534 of the family's 1533-position model. The record is from RNAcentral.